Molecule: ribosomal RNA, 775 nt
Filed under: uncultured Neocallimastigales
Lineage: Eukaryota; Fungi; Neocallimastigomycota; Neocallimastigomycetes; Neocallimastigales
Description: partial large subunit ribosomal RNA
Rfam family: Eukaryotic large subunit ribosomal RNA
Source: RNAcentral
AGAGAGAGACAUGCGCGCAUAUCAAUAAGCGGAGGAAAAGAAACUAACAAGGAUUCCCCUAGUAACGGCGAGUGAAGCGGGAAGAGCUCAAAUUUGAAAUCUUAAAGGGUUUCCCUUUACGAAUUGUAGUUUAAAGAAGUGUUUUCUGUUGAGGUUUUGGUAAAAGUUCUUUGGAAUAGGACAUCAUAGAGGGUGAGAAUCCCGUAUUUGACCUUUACUUUCAACUUUGUGAUACACUUUCAAAGAGUCGGAUUGUUUGGGAAUGCAGUCCAAAAUGGGUGGUAAAUUUCAUCCUAAAGCUAAAUAUUGGCGAGAGACCGAUAGCGAACAGGUACCGUGAGGGAAAGAUGAAAAGAACUUUGAAAAGAGAGUUAAACAGUACGUGAAAUUGUCAAAAGGGAAGCGUUUGACACCAGUGUUGUUUUUCUGAAAAUCAAUUAAAGAACUGUUUAUGCUAAGUUGUUUAGACUUUAUCAGCUAACUGUUUAGUUUUGAGCUUUUCUUUAAUGCACUUUUCAGUUAACAAGUCAACAUCAAUUUCUUUUGCUGUAAAAAAGCUUGAGGAAGGUGGCUUGAGAUUCGUCUUAAGUGUUUAUAGCCUCUUGCCUAUGCAGUCGGAGAGAUUGAGGUCUGCAGCGUAGAUCCUUCGGGGCUAAAUGCAUUUGUGCUAAGUUAUAGCAUUUUAUAGACAACUUGUUGACUAUGAUUUGUCUUGUAGCUUACUCGCUUAUGUUAUUUUACCUACGCUUAGGAUGUUGACGCAUGAGAUAUACGC